Molecule: unclassified non-coding RNA, 219 nt
Filed under: Glomeraceae sp.
Lineage: Eukaryota; Fungi; Glomeromycota; Glomeromycetes; Glomerales; Glomeraceae
Description: partial contains 5.8S ribosomal RNA and internal transcribed spacer 2
Rfam family: 5.8S ribosomal RNA (bases 1-71)
Source: RNAcentral
GUGAAUCAUCGAAUUUUUGAACGCAAAUUGCGCUUCCUAGCAUCCCGGGAAGUAUGCCUGUUUGAGGGUCAUUACUUUCAAAAAAAUCGGUGUUGUUGCGAGUUGUGACGUUUCCUGGGAUUUGGCUAUCUUAACGUUUUAGGUUAAGGGGCUUAAAUUUGAUCUUUUUUGCGCAUUUUUAGACGUACAUAAAUUUUUUUUUAUUCGUUUUUUCUUAUU